RNAcentral lists this ribosomal RNA (164 nucleotides) under uncultured bacterium. RNAcentral describes it as "partial 16S rRNA". It matches the Rfam family "Bacterial small subunit ribosomal RNA", at positions 355 to 511 of the family's 1533-position model. The record is from RNAcentral.
UGGGGAAUAUUGGACAAUGGGCGAAAGCCUGAUCCAGCCAUGCCGCGUGUGUGAAGAAGGUCUUCGGAUUGUAAGGCACUUUAAGUUGGGAGGAAGGGUUGUAGAUUAAUACUCUGCAAUUUUGACGUUACCGACAGAAUAAGCACCGGCUAACUCUGUGCCAG